UAGAGUUUGAUCAUGGCUCAGAUUGAACGCUGGCGGCAGGCCUAACACAUGCAAGUCGAGCGGAAACGACACUAACAAUCCUUCGGGUGCGUUAAUGUGCGUCGAGCGGCGGACGGGUGAGUAAUGCCUAGGAAAUUGCCUUGAUGUGGGGGAUAACCAUUGGAAACGAUGGCUAAUACCGCAUAAUGCCUACGGGCCAAAGAGGGGGAUCUUCGGACCUUUCGCGUCAAGAUAUGCCUAGGUGGGAUUAGCUAGUUGGUGAGGUAAUGGCUCACCAAGGCGACGAUCCCUAGCUGGUCUGAGAGGAUGAUCAGCCACACCGGAACUGAGACACGGUCCAGACUCCUACGGGAGGCAGCAGUGGGGAAUAUUGCACAAUGGGCGAAAGCCUGAUGCAGCCAUGCCGCGUGUAUGAAGAAGGCCUUCGGGUUGUAAAGUACUUACAGUUGUGAGGAAGGGGGUAACGUUAAUAGCGUUACCUCUUGACGUUAGCAACAGAAGAAGCACCGGCUAACUCCGUGCCAGCAGCCGCGGUAAUACGGAGGGUGCGAGCGUUAAUCGGAAUUACUGGGCGUAAAGCGCAUGCAGGUGGUUCAUUAAGUCAGAUGUGAAAGCCCGGGGCUCAACCUCGGAACUGCAUUUGAAACUGGUGAACUAGAGUGCUGUAGAGGGGGGUAGAAUUUCA
Molecule: ribosomal RNA, 685 nt
Filed under: uncultured Vibrionaceae bacterium
Lineage: Bacteria; Pseudomonadati; Pseudomonadota; Gammaproteobacteria; Vibrionales; Vibrionaceae
Description: bacterial SSU rRNA
Rfam family: Bacterial small subunit ribosomal RNA
Source: RNAcentral